This 1302-nucleotide ribosomal RNA is filed under the name metagenome. Its description in RNAcentral is "SSU rRNA". It matches the Rfam family "Eukaryotic small subunit ribosomal RNA", at positions 488 to 1823 of the family's 1831-position model. The record is from RNAcentral.
GUUCUCUUAUGAGGCCGGUCAUCGGAAUGGGUACAAUUUAAACCCUUUAACGAGUAUCUAUGAGAGGGCAAGUCUGGUGCCAGCAGCCGCGGUAAUUCCAGCUCUCAAAGUGCAUAGAAUUAUUGCUGCGGUUAAAAAGCUCGUAGUUGGAUCUGUGCCAUAGGACGUGGUCCACCUUCGGGUGCGUACUACGCUCCUAGGCUUUUUGCUGGUUUUCCCGUCGUAGCCUUCACUGGUUGCGGCGGGUGGCUGGCGAGUUUACUUUGAGAAAAUCAGAGUGCUCAAUACAGGCGUAUCGCUUGAAUGAUUGUGCAUGGAAUAAUAGAAAAGGAUUUCGGUCCUCUUUUAUUGGUUUUGUGGACUGAGAUAAUGGUUAACAGGGACAAACGGGGGCAUUCGUAUCUCUGCGUGAGAGGUGAAAUUCUUGGACCGUAGAGAGACGCCCUACUGCGAAAGCAUUUGCCAAAUGUCUUCAUUAAUCAAGAACGAAAGUCAGAGGUUCGAAGGCGAUCAGAUACCGCCCUAGUUCUGACCGUAAACGAUGCCAACUAGCGAUCCGCCGGUGGAUUUUUAGCCCUGGUGGGUAGCUUCCCGGAAACGAAAGUCUUCCGGUUCCGGGGGAAGUAUGGUUGCAAAGCUGAAACUUAAAGGAAUUGACGGAAGGGCACCACCAGGAGUGGAGCCUGCGGCUUAAUUUGACACAACACGGGGAAACUCACCCGGCCCGGACACCGUAAGGAUUGACAGAUUGAUAGCUCUUUCAUGAUUCGGUGGUUGGUGGUGCAUGGCCGUUCUUAGUUCGUGGAUCGAUUUGUCUGGUUUAUUCCGAUAACGAGCGAGACUCUAGCCUACUAAAUAGUAACGAGAUUAUCAAUGUCUCAGUUGCUUCUUAGAGGGAUUUUCGGUGUUUAGCCGCACGAGAUUGAGCAAUAACAGGUCUGUGAUCCCCUUAGAUGUCCGGGGCUGCACGCGCGCUACACUGGCGAAAUCAGCGUGCUGUAUCCAUUCUCGAAAGGGAUUGGUAAACCCAUGAAAAUUUGCCGUGCUUGGGAUCGGAAAUUGCAAUUAUUUUCCGUGAACGAGGAAUUCCAAGUAAGUGCGAGUCAUCAACUCGCUCUGAUUACGUCCCUGCCCUUUGUACACACCGCCCGUCGCUGCCCGGGACUGAGCCAUUUCGAGAAGAUCAGGGACUGGUGGACUGUGGCCUCUUCGGAGGUCCGGUUCGCUGGAAACUGAUUUGAUCGCAGUGGCUUGAACCGGGCAAAAGUCGUAACAAGGUAGCCGUAGGUGAACCUGCGGCUG